GACGAACGCUGGCGGCGUGCUUAACACAUGCAAGUCGAACGCUGAAGCCCAUUCGGGGGUGGAUGAGUGGCGAACGGGUGAGUAACACGUGGGUAGUCUGCCCUGCACCCCUGGCUAAGCCUUGGAAACGGGGUCUAAUACCGGACAGGACACAUAGCCGCAUGGUGUGUGCGUGGAAAGUUGCGGCGGUGCAGGUUGAGCCCGCGGCCUAUCAGCUUGUUGGUGGGGUGAUGGCCUACCAAGGCGACGACGGGUAGCCGGCCUGUGAGGGUGACCGGCCACACUGGGACUGAGACACGGCCCAGACUCCUACGGGAGGCAGCAGUGGGGAAUCUUGCGCAAUGGGCGAAAGCCUGACGCAGCAACGCCGCGUGGGGGAUGACGGCCUUCGGGUUGUAAACCUCUUUCGACCGGGACGAAGGGUGACUGACGGUACCGGUGGAAGAAGCACCGGCUAACUACGUGCCAGCCGCCGCGGUAA
RNAcentral lists this ribosomal RNA (481 nucleotides) under uncultured bacterium. RNAcentral's name for it is "partial 16S ribosomal RNA". It matches the Rfam family "Bacterial small subunit ribosomal RNA", at positions 28 to 523 of the family's 1533-position model. The record is from RNAcentral.